AUGAACGCUGGCGGCGUGCCUAACACAUGCAAGUCGAGCGGAAAUUGUCAAAGUAGCAAUACGGCGGCAGUUUUAGCGGCGGACGGGUGAGUAACACGUGAGUAACCUGCCUUCUACAGGGGAAUAACACCGUGAAAAUGGUGCUAAUACCGCAUAACAUUAUACUGUGGCAUCACAGAAUAAUCAAAGGAGCAAUCCGGUAGAAGAUGGACUCGCGUCCGAUUAGCUAGUUGGAGGGGUAAUGGCCCACCAAGGCGACGAUCGGUAGCCGAACUGAGAGGUUGAUCGGCCACAUUGGGACUGAGACACGGCCCAGACUCCUACGGGAGGCAGCAGUGGGGAAUAUUGGGCAAUGGGCGCAAGCCUGACCCAGCAACGCCGCGUGAAGGAAGAAGGCUUUCGGGUUGUAAACUUCUUUGAUCAGGGACGAAAAAAAUGACGGUACCUGAAAAACAAGCCACGGCUAACUACGU
Molecule: ribosomal RNA, 473 nt
Filed under: uncultured bacterium
Lineage: Bacteria
Description: bacterial SSU rRNA
Rfam family: Bacterial small subunit ribosomal RNA
Source: RNAcentral